This is a long non-coding RNA of Gallus gallus (chicken), 1293 nucleotides long. NCBI's taxonomy places the organism in Eukaryota, Metazoa, Chordata, Aves, Galliformes, Phasianidae. The record is from Ensembl.
AGAUCUGAAGGCUUUUCCAGCACGAGCUGACACUGCAGAGUCUCCAAUCAACUGAUCUUUGAUGGGUUGGUGCCCUGGGUUGGGGUGACAGAUACUCUAAGCCGCAGCAGUGUGGAAAGCUGGCUGCUCGGACAUCCAGCAGUGCUUCUGGCCUGGGGAGCGGUCAGCCAAAGGUUCUGACAGUUUUAAUGGAAAGUCUAUCGUGAAUUUGGAUGCUGAGGGAAGCCUACCAGGCAGAGUACUCAAGAUGCAAGACACUACUACAUUUAGAAGGUAUUUUUGUCCCUUUUCCACCACAUUCCAGAUAUGAAUAGAAGAUCAAGACAUCUGUUGGGCCUUCUUCGGCAACACUUACACCACCAAGAGUUGGCAGAGCAAUCUAUGGAUGCCAAGGCUCCCCUGAACUUGCAGCUCCGGCCUUCUCUGAGUGUGGCCUAUGCAUAGUCACUGCUCUCUCUAGUCCUCCUUCCAAAGGAGGCAUGAGAGAAGGAAUAAGUGCUUCUCUGCUGUGGAUGAAUGAACUUGCUGUGUUCUGCUGAGCCCUCCCUUCCACCAGCAUGGCCUGACCUUGCCUUUCUGACUUAGUGUCCUGGGCUGCAGGUGCUCUAGCACCAGCAGAAGAAUUGGAAUUUGCAAACGGAGAGCAGUUAAGCUUUUCCCCUGCCAGUUCCCUUUCAUGUGUGCCAAACCAGCACACAGCAGUGUUUUUCUUGAGCCUGGCAGCCACUUUCAUCCAAGUGAUAUCGCUGAGAACGCGGCUGCUUAUUCCCUCAACUGAAAGCCCCAAAAGCCAUGGCCUGGAGGCCUCUUGGCCUGCAACUUGAGAGGGUUUGCUUCUGGGAGCAUGAAUAAUUAAAAAGGUUCACAAAUUUCUUUCUGUCUGGAAGCUGUUCAUAAAUCUGGGCUUGUCCAGGGACUGUGAAAACCUGAUCCUGGUUCUCAUGAAAGCAGAAGACCUUUUUGUAUCUUUUCGGCAUGGACUGAUGAAUGUCUGAGAUCUCCAAAGCUUCAGUGUUUCUUUGUGCUGUGCCGUUACAGAGUUGUUAGAUUCAUUCUGUGCUGAAGUACGUAAGUGCUCACAUGCACUCUCGCCUAUGUUGUUAUCCUUCUUUUCUUUAAUAUUUUACAUUUCCAAACAUUUUUCUUGCUAUGACUUAUAUUAACCAGAAAACCUUCAUUUUGUAGGGCCUUAUUUCUCUGACACUUGCAUGGUAUGAUUCUUAGGCACACCAAGAAUGAUUAUAAAUAAUGUCAAAUUUUGUCUAGGUAUAAAAUUUUCCUGUGCACUUAACC